Long non-coding RNA from Sapajus apella (tufted capuchin), 562 nucleotides. RefSeq lists it as uncharacterized. The transcript is spliced from 2 exons. The record is from RefSeq and is a predicted model, not a curated record. Lineage: Eukaryota; Metazoa; Chordata; Mammalia; Primates; Cebidae.
CCUUCAAACAUGGGACACGCAGCCUGGCCUAGACACCGGCCCUCAGGUAGGAUGAGGGGCAGGAAACAGCCGUGACUGUUCAACUCCGCCCCGGCCCGUGGGAGCCACGCUCAUGUGCUGUGAGAACUUCACAGACCCCAGGUGACUGGAUGGGGGCCUGGUGAGGGGCACUCCUGGCUACCCAGGUGGAGGGACUGCCCAGGACCCCGGGUGACUGGACGGGGGCCAGGUGCUCACCUCGUGGUUGGCGUGGAUCUGGCGGAGAUACUGCACACGCAGAUCAGGGGCACUGGAGCCCUGGGCGGCCUGCUCUGUCACCAUCGUCUGGGGGGACACGGGACAUACUGGAGAGGACAUGCCCUAGCACCUGCCCCCACUUUCCUUGGAGCAGGGUGACUCUCUCCCUCUGCCCAGCUCUGCCUCCCGGCCUCGCCCCCCAACCGGCACUUUGCUGUUUUCCACCCUGCUGUUCACCUCGACUUCCCGCCCUCCAGAGUGGCAGGGCAGAGCCCCUGGCCUGACAGUUUCUUGGAAAUGAAUUUGUUUGGUUCUUUCCGCUCCA